This 378-nucleotide ribosomal RNA is filed under the name Triticum aestivum (bread wheat). RNAcentral's name for it is "partial small subunit ribosomal RNA". The record is from RNAcentral. Lineage: Eukaryota; Viridiplantae; Streptophyta; Magnoliopsida; Poales; Poaceae.
AUGGUCAUGAUUGAAACAUAUCAAGUCGCAGACAACGAGACUCUUGCUAGCCUGUGGGAGAAGCGAACGUACUGGGUGCCGGCCUACUUCAUGCAGUGCUUCUUCCCGUUUCUGCAGACUACGCAAUGCAGCGAGGGGUUCAAUGCUGUUUUGAAGCGGUACGUGAGCCCUGGAAACUCAUUGCUACAGUUUGCCAAGCAGUACACAGCUUUGCAACAAAAAAUACUGGGAUCUGAGCUACAGCAAGAAGCGAACACCGCGCUAAAGCAACCAAAAUUAUUAGCGUAUUUACCGAUGGAGAGGCAAAUGAGCAAGAUAUACACCAACAAGAUCUUUAACAAGUGCAACAAAACUUGCUAUUUCAUAAGGCGGCGAUAG